RNAcentral lists this ribosomal RNA (495 nucleotides) under uncultured bacterium. RNAcentral's name for it is "partial 16S ribosomal RNA". It matches the Rfam family "Bacterial small subunit ribosomal RNA", at positions 28 to 507 of the family's 1533-position model. The record is from RNAcentral.
GACGAACGCUGGCGGCGUGCCUAAUACAUGCAAGUAGAACGCUGAAGGAGGAGCUUGCUUCUCUGGAUGAGUUGCGAACGGGUGAGUAACGCGUAGGUAACCUGCCUGGUAGCGGGGGAUAACUAUUGGAAACGAUAGCUAAUACCGCAUAAGAGUAGAUGUUGCAUGACAUUUGCUUAAAAGGUGCAAUUGCAUCACUACCAGAUGGACCUGCGUUGUAUUAGCUAGUUGGUGAGGUAACGGCUCACCAAGGCGACGAUACAUAGCCGACCUGAGAGGGGGAACGGCCACCAUGGGACUGAGACACAGCCCAGACUCCUACGGGAGGCAGCAGGAGGGAAUCUUCGGCAAUGGACGGAAGGCUGACCGAGCAACGCCGCGUGAGUGAAGAAGGUUUUCGGAUCGUAAAGCUCUGUUGUAAGAGAAGAACGAGUGUGAGAGUGGAAAGUUCACACUGUGACGGUAUCUUACCAGAAAGGGACGGCUAACUACGUG